UCUAAACCCAUACAACCACGAG
This 22-nucleotide non-coding RNA is filed under the name Arabidopsis thaliana (thale cress). Lineage: Eukaryota; Viridiplantae; Streptophyta; Magnoliopsida; Brassicales; Brassicaceae. The record is from RNAcentral.